This 97-nucleotide ribosomal RNA is filed under the name Klebsiella oxytoca. Its description in RNAcentral is "partial 16S ribosomal RNA". It matches the Rfam family "Bacterial small subunit ribosomal RNA", at positions 1 to 92 of the family's 1533-position model. RNAcentral also lists the same sequence under 4 other names. Lineage: Bacteria; Pseudomonadati; Pseudomonadota; Gammaproteobacteria; Enterobacterales; Enterobacteriaceae. The record is from RNAcentral.
AAAUUGAAGAGUUUGAUCAUGGCUCAGAUUGAACGCUGGCGGCAGGCCUAACACAUGCAAGUCGAACGGUAGCACAGAGAGCUUGCUCUCGGGUGAC